RNAcentral lists this unclassified non-coding RNA (334 nucleotides) under Hevea brasiliensis (rubber tree). The record is from RNAcentral. Lineage: Eukaryota; Viridiplantae; Streptophyta; Magnoliopsida; Malpighiales; Euphorbiaceae.
CAGGUUUGCAACUACUGGAACAGGCCUUCGAGAAGUGCAGCGACGGAAAGGGCUUCUUUGGCGGCGACACCAUCGGAUACCUCGACAUUGCUCUUGGAAGUUACUUGGGUUGGCUGAGGAUAUCGAAGCAGCUAACGGACAUUGAGUUUUUGGAUGGAGAAAAGACGCCACUACUGGCAGGAUGGGCGGAGCGCUUCUGCUCCGAUGCCGCCGUGAAGGAGGUGAUGCCGGAGACUGAGAAGUUGGCUGAGUUUGUCAAGGACAGGUUUAAGGCUCCUGCACAAUAAGGUCUGGGUGUGGUGUGAACUUCUGUACUUUUGAACUUGUAUCUGAG